ACAAAGGAAAUUCUCCACCAGAAAAUGCUGAAGUCCUGAGGAAACAACAUGGAGAUCAGAUAACGUAUGUUUGCCUCAUCGAAAAAUUCUACCCAGAAGUUAUUCGGGUGACAUGGAACGAUGGAGAAAAAGAGGUAACAGACAACGUAGUAAAAGGAGAUGCUUGGAAGGCUACAGAAGAUGACAAAUACUCAAUCAGCAGCUGGUUAACUGUACCAGCAGAGAACAAAGACAAGAAGUAUCUCUGCAAAUACGAACAUGAAGGGAAACAGGAUUCAAAGCAGGCAUAUGCAGAACCUACAAAGCCUAAAGCUCCAGAAGAGAACUGCAUCACAUAUCCUGGAAAUGGCACCGAUUUUAAUAGAGAUCACUUAAUGCACAGGACAGCAUAUUUAGUGUACAUUGUCCUUCUUCUGAAGAGCUCCAUGUACUAUCUCAUCGUACUCUUCUUCAUCUACAGAAUGUGGUCUCCAAGCAAGCACCAAGGAAAGAAAGCAUAA
Non-coding RNA from Balearica regulorum gibbericeps (East African grey crowned-crane), 500 nucleotides. The record is from the annotation of a RefSeq genome assembly. NCBI's taxonomy places the organism in Eukaryota, Metazoa, Chordata, Aves, Gruiformes, Gruidae.